ACAUCCUGAUUGGAAAGAAGACAGCCACGAGAAACAAAAAUAAUCAAAAACAAAGAACUGGAGAUAAAUAAUCACAAAUGUAUACUGCUGAAAAAAUCCUACCUGAAAAAUAUUUCAACAGGUUUAAAAGAGGUGCUAAGACACAGGGUCUCGCUAUGUUGCUCAGGCUGCUCUCGAACCCCUGGCCUCAAGUGAUCCUCCUGUCUUAGCGUCCUAAGUAGCUGGGAUUACAAGCAUAAGGCACAGCAUCUGGUAAGUCUAGAUUCUUUAACCUUGAAAUUAGAGACGUUUCUCUGGUCCCCUCUCCUCUGGCACUGUGCACAGCAGCCACCUGGAGUGACUUGUAGUUUGUACAGGCCCGCCUGAAAUGUACCUUCCCCAAACCCCCAUUCUCUGGCAAAUUUUUGUUGUUUAAAAGCCAACUCAGAUACCAUGCUGUCUGUGAUAUCUUUCUGGCAACAGCCCUUCUCUCUAUACACUUCCUUUUUUCUAAUGUAGAUGUUUUGGUUGCCACCUUUGCUCUUAUAUCUCUGUCAUCUUCAUAUAUACAGUAUCUCUUCAAUACAAUGCCCAGAAUUUAUCAAGCACUUUCUGGCUAAUAAUGUUCUUUGUAGAUCAGAACAAAUAUCAGUAAUUAUACCAUUUAUAAAGAAAAGUAAAAUUUAAAGGUAAAAAUUUUACAGCAAAAAUGGUAUCACAAAGAAAAUAAGUGAAGAGGGAAAAGACCACCCAAUUUCAUGAGUUUUCUUGAAUUGUAUGUUUCAGAUAAACUCUUUCCAAGCUAACCAUGAGUUAGUGCUGCUGUAGGGUCUAGAGUUAGUUAUGCCAAGAAUAAUGUUAAGUUCCUAAACAAUGACCACUGUUAGUUACUAUACUUAAUUCAUUUUAAGACCCCAUCUCUGUCUUUUAACAUUUAUGAACUUGCAAUGCAUCACAGGCUUACAACUGGCAAUAUUUGGGGUUUUGUUUUUGCUUAGAGAAAUAUAAAGCAAUGGAGCAUGUUAAAUUCAAUGAAAUAGACUUUAAACCAGCAAUAAUGCAACUUGAUAUGUGGAGAUCGGCUGCAGAGUAUUUGUUUUUAGAAGAGAUUGUGUCCUGCUCUGAUACCCAGGAUGAAAUAUAAUGGCAUGAUCCUAGCUCACUAUAGCCUCAAAAACUCCUGCCCUCAAGUGACCCUCCUGCCUCAGCCUCUCGAGUAGCUAGGACUACAGAUGUGCAUCACCAUUCCCAGCUAUUUAAAAAAUUGUCUGAAGAUGUGGAGCCUCACUCUAUUGCCCAGGUUGGUCUCAAACUCCAGGCCUCAUGUGAUCCUCCUGCCCUGGCCUCCCAAAGUUCUGGCAUUGCAGAAGUGAGCCACCAUACCUGGUCAUAUUCAACAUUUAGAUAACGUUUUAAACCAAUAUUAAGAUAGCUGAGUUAGUUAUACCUGCAAGCACCAUCAAAGACUAUAACCUUGCCCUCCCUUGGUACUGAAAACAAACUACAGUGCAUUAUGUUACACAUUAUUAGGGAUAAGAAGUAAGGCAUCUAAAUUUUUUGCUUAAACAAGAGAUGGAAAGAAAGAAAUGUGUGAAUUCAUAAAUCCUAUCAAGGUGUGACUGACAGUACCAAGAAAAAGCACAGACGAUUCAGCUGGCAGAAUGAGGAUGUGUUCUUAUAUACUAGUCAUCCACAAUUUGCUUUCCUUCUGUAAUGGUAAAGGUUUACCAUUUAACCAGUAAGAUGAUAAAACAAAUAAUUCACAAUAUCUAUUCCCAUAUUCCACAUGAAUGCUUACUAGCCCUACUUGUUAUCAGCUUACGUCAUUUCACCUUUGUUUCUGUGGAUAACAGCACUUCUCUUGAUAUGCCAUGAACAUGGAUUCAGUACCAAUCUCCUAAGACUGACAGCUCUAAGACAGCAGAGACUAAGUCUAAUUAACCUUAGUAUUGCCAGAUUGAGUUGGCUUCGCUAGGUAUACUAUGCACCAUGACUUUUCAAGCUUUGUGCAUGUGUUUAGCAUCUUGGCAAAGGAAACUUAGAAGUCAUACCUGGUAGGAUUCCUUUUGUCUUCCUCAGAGAUCAAAAACCAAACAAAAUCUGCAUAGCUCAUUCUUCCCUCUUUCUGUAUGGUUUUUCCUCUGAAGAAAACACAUGGUUAUAAAAUUUCCUGAGCAAUUACUCAGAACCGUUUUUCAGGAUGAUAGGCUAAGAAAUAAAGUGUUAUGUCAGUUGAUUUUUUAAAAAAUUAGAAUGCUAGAUGCCUUAUAAAGGGCAACUAGCAUUCUUAUCUUCAAAGGUCUAGAGGGCGAAACCAGAAGGCAUUUGCAAAUACAAAGAAAAGAAAUCUGAUUUUUAAUACGAAUGUGAAUAAUCACUGGGAUAAAAUACUGUUAUCUGUAUUUAGAUAUAGGAUUAAUACUCAUGUUAGGCAUCAAAGGGAGAUGCUGCAAAAUAAUAAGAGCUAUCUAUGACAAACACACAGCUAGCAUUAUACUGAAAGGACAAAAGCCAGAAACAAUCCCCUUAAGAACAAGACAAGGAUGCCCACUCUCACCACUCUAUUCAACACAGUACUGGAAGUCUUAGCCAGAGCAAUCAGGCAAGAGAAAGAAAUAAAAUGCAUCCAAAUAGGAAAUGUCAAAUUAUCUCUCUUUGCUGACCACAUGAUUCUAUACCUAGAAAAGCCUGAAAACUAUGCCAAAAGGCUUUCAGAACUAUUAAAAAUUUCAUUAAAGUUUUGGGAUACAAAAUCAACAUAUAAAAAUCAGUAACAUUUCUAUACACCAAUAGCAUUCAAGCUGAGAGCCAAAUCAAGAAUGCAAUCCCAUUUACAAUAGCUGCACACACACACAAAAUAAAAUACCUAGGAAUAUGGCUAACCAAGGAGGUGAAAAAUCUCUACAGGGAGGACUACAACACUCUGCUGAAAGAAAUCAGAGAUGACACAAACCAAUGGAAAAACAUUCCAUGGUCAUGGAUAGGAAGAAUCAAUAUCGUUAAAAUAGCCAUACUGCCCAAGGCAAUCUUACAGAUUCAAUGCUAUUCUUACUAAGCUAACGUCAUUUUUCACAGAAAAGUUUUUUUUUUUUGGGGGGGGAACUAUUCCAAAAUUCAUAUGGAACCCAAAACAAAGCCCAAAUAGCUAAAGCAAUCUUAAGCAAAAACAACCAAGCCAGAGGUAUCAUAGCACUUGAGUUCAAACUACACUAUAAGGCUACUGUAACCCAAACAGCAUGGUACUGGUACAAAAACAGACACAUAGAUCAAUGGAACAGAAUAGAGAGCCCAGAAAUAAAGCUGCACACCUACAAGCAUCUGAUAUUUGACAAAGUCAACAAAAACAGUGAAAAGAUGACUCCCUAUUCAAUAAACAGUGCUGGGAUAACUGGUUAGCUAUAUGUAGAAGAAGGAAACCAGACCCUUACUUUUCACCAUAUAAAAAAAUUAAUUCACAAUGGAUUAAAGACUUAAAUGUUAGACCUCAAACUAUAACAAACCUAGAAGAAAACCUAGGAAAUACCCUUCUUGACAUCAGCCUAGGCAAAUAAGUUAUGGCUAAGUCCUCAAAAGCAAUUGCAACAAAACCAAAAAUUGAUGAUUAGGACCAAAUUAAACUAAAGGGCUUCUGUACAACAAAAAGAAACUAUCAACAGAUUUAACAGACAAACUACAGAAUUGGAGAAAACAUUCUCAAACUAUGUAUCCAACAGAGGUCUAAUAUCCAUAAUCUAUAAGGAACUUAUAUCAACAAGCAAAAAACAACUCCAUUUAAAAAUGGGCAAAGGACAUGAACAGACACUUCUCAGAAGACACACAAGCAGCCAACAAACAUGAAACAAUCUCAACAUCAUUCAUCAUUAGAGAAAUGCAAAUAAAAACCACAACAAAAUACCAUCUUACAACAUCAGAAUGGCAAUUACUAAAAAGUCCAAAUAUAACACAUGCUGGUGAGGCUGUGGAGAAAAGGGAAUGCUUAUACAUUGUUAGUGCGAAUGUAAACGAGUCCAGCUGCGGUGGAGAGCAGUUGAUUUCUCAAAGAACUUAAAACAGAACUACCAUUCAACCCAGCAAUCCCAUUACUGGGCAUAUACCCAAGGGAAAAUGAAUCAUUCUACCAAAAAUAUACAUGCACUUGUAUGUUUAUCCAGCACUAUUCACAAUAGCAAAGACAUGGAAUCAACCUAGAUGCUAUCAACAGUAGACUGGAUAAAGAAAAAUGUGGUACAUAUAUACCACUGAAUACUAUGCAGCCAUAAAAAUUAUGAAAUCAUGUCCCUGCAGCAAUAUGGAGGCAGCUGGAAGCCAUUGUCCUAAGCAAAUUAACACAGGAACAGAAAACCAAAUACUACAUGUUUUCACUACUAAGUGGAGGCUAAUGUUGACUACACAUAGGUAUAAAGAUGGGAGCAAUGGACACUGGGGUCUGCUGAAGGGGUAGGGAGUGAGCAGAGGGCUGAGGGACUGACGGGUGUUGUGCUCACUGCCUGUGUGACAGCAUCCUCCAUACACCAAACCUCAUUAUCACGCAUUGUUCCCAUGUGACAGACCUGUAUAUGUAUUCCCUGAAUUAGAAAUGUAUUCCCUAAAUCAGAAAAAAAAUUUUUUUAAAUAAAAAAAAAUAAAAAAUUAUUAAAAAAAAAGAAUUACUGUCUUGUAUUAAGCCAUAACUAUGAUUUACAGGAUAAUAUUUGGUCUAGGAGCACUGCCAAAUUAUUCAGGAAGCAUUGCUAAAAUGAGAUCAUUACAGUAUUACUUGUAGUUCAUUUUUAAACACAGAAUUACAUUUUCUUACCUUGUUACUGCCCCAGAGAAGAUCCUUUCGAUAAUCCUGUUUGAUGAAGCUAAAUGUAGAUUUAAAAAACAUUACAAAGCUAGUUUAGAAUCAUGCUCCAUAAAGGCAAUACUUUUCACAAAUUUGCUUUUCAUUAGCUACAAGCUAAACCAUAACUAUCGUCCAUGAUGAAAGUACAUUUUAAUUUAUGCAUACUUUAAAAAAGUAACAGGCAAAUGAAUGUGGCUGACAUCUGGGAAGUAUUAAUAUAGCUUAAUGCUAAGUUUGUUCUGAACAUCCUGACAACUAAGACAAAAAUGUAUAGGAUUUGUAUUAAUCUUAUCCAAUGAGACCGAUUUUCCUAUAAACAAGACAAAUUUUAUCCUUACAUUAAAUUCAAAAGGGAACUGAUUGUGGAAGAUCCUAAAUCAAUGUAAAAUAAAACAAAGUUAAA
Molecule: non-coding RNA, 5207 nt
Organism: Callithrix jacchus (white-tufted-ear marmoset)
Lineage: Eukaryota; Metazoa; Chordata; Mammalia; Primates; Cebidae
Source: RefSeq, a predicted model, not a curated record